This 157-nucleotide ribosomal RNA is filed under the name uncultured fungus. RNAcentral describes it as "5.8S ribosomal RNA". It matches the Rfam family "5.8S ribosomal RNA". Rfam says of the family: 5.8S ribosomal RNA (5.8S rRNA) is a component of the large subunit of the eukaryotic ribosome. It is transcribed by RNA polymerase I as part of the 45S precursor that also contains 18S and 28S rRNA. Lineage: Eukaryota; Fungi. The record is from RNAcentral.
CAACUUUCAACAACGGAUCUCUUGGCUCUCGCAUCGAUGAAGAACGCAGCGAAAUGCGAUAAGUAAUGUGAAUUGCAGAAUUCAGUGAAUCAUCGAAUCUUUGAACGCACAUUGCGCCCCCUGGUAUUCCGGGGGGCAUGCCUGUUCGAGCGUCAUU